GAUGAACGCUGGCGGCGUGCCUAAUACAUGCAAGUCGAGCGAACAGAUGAGGAGCUUGCUCCUCUGACGUUAGCGGCGGACGGGUGAGUAACACGUGGAUAACCUACCUAUAAGACUGGGAUAACUUCGGGAAACCGGAGCUAAUACCGGAUAUUAUAUUGAACCGCAUGGUUCAAUAGUGAAAGACGGUUUUGCUGUCACUUAUAGAUGGAUCCGCGCCGCAUUAGCUAGUUGGUAAGGUAACGGCUUACCAAGGCAACGAUGCGUAGCCGACCUGAGAGGGUGAUCGGCCACACUGGAGCUUAGACACGGUCCAGACUCCUACGGGAGGCAGCAGUAGGGAAUCUUCCGCAAUGGGCGAAAGCCUGGCGGAGCAACGCCGCGUGAGUGAUGAAGGUCUUCGGAUCGUAAAACUCUGUUAUUAGGGAAGAACAAAUGUGUAAGUAACUAUGCACGUCUUGACGGUACCUAAUCAGAAAGCCACGGCUAACUACGUG
This 497-nucleotide ribosomal RNA is filed under the name uncultured bacterium. Its description in RNAcentral is "partial 16S ribosomal RNA". It matches the Rfam family "Bacterial small subunit ribosomal RNA", at positions 28 to 507 of the family's 1533-position model. The record is from RNAcentral.